UAGUAGUUUUGGAAUCUGGCUCAAGAUUGAACGCUGGCGGCAUGCCUUUACACAUGCAAGUCGAACGGCAGCACGGAGCUUGCUCUGGUGGCGAGUGGCGAACGGGUGAGUAAUAAUAUCGGAACGUACCCUAGAGUGGGGGAUAACGUAGCGAAAGUUACGCUAAUACCGCAUACGAUCUAAGGAUGAAAGUGGGGGAUCGCAAGACCUCAUGCUCGUGGAGCGGCCGAUAUCUGAUUAGCUAGUUGGUAGGGUAAAAGCCUACCAAGGCAUCGAUCAGUAGCUGGUCUGAGAGGACGACCAGCCACACUGGAACUGAGACACGGUCCAGACUCCUACGGGAGGCAGCAGUGGGGAAUUUUGGACAAUGGGCGAAAGCCUGAUCCAGCAAUGCCGCGUGAGUGAAGAAGGCCUUCGGGUUGUAAAGCUCUUUUGUCAGGGAAGAAACGGUGAGGGCUAAUAUCCUUUGCUAAUGACGGUACCUGAAGAAUAAGCACCGGCUAACUACGUGCCAGCAGCCGCGGUAAUACGUAGGGUGCAAGCGUUAAUCGGAAUUACUGGGCGUAAAGCGUGCGCAGGCGGUUUUGUAAGUCUGAUGUGAAAUCCCCGGGCUCAACCUGGGAAUUGCAUUGGAGACUGCAAGGCUAGAAUCUGGCAGAGGGGGGUAGAAUUCCACGUGUAGCAGUGAAAUGCGUAGAUAUGUGGAGGAACACCGAUGGCGAAGGCAGCCCCCUGGGUCAAGAUUGACGCUCAUGCACGAAAGCGUGGGGAGCAAACAGGAUUAGAUACCCUGGUAGUCCACGCCCUAAACGAUGUCUACUAGUUGUCGGGUCUUAAUUGACUUGGUAACGCAGCUAACGCGUGAAGUAGACCGCCUGGGGAGUACGGUCGCAAGAUUAAAACUCAAAGGAAUUGACGGGGACCCGCACAAGCGGUGGAUGAUGUGGAUUAAUUCGAUGCAACGCGAAAAACCUUACCUACCCUUGACAUGGCUGGAAUCCCCGAGAGAUUGGGAUCUCGAACGAAUACCC
RNAcentral lists this ribosomal RNA (1031 nucleotides) under Janthinobacterium lividum. Its description in RNAcentral is "bacterial SSU rRNA". It matches the Rfam family "Bacterial small subunit ribosomal RNA", at positions 1 to 1028 of the family's 1533-position model. The record is from RNAcentral. Lineage: Bacteria; Pseudomonadati; Pseudomonadota; Betaproteobacteria; Burkholderiales; Oxalobacteraceae.